CGUAACGCGUAUGCAACCUACCCUCAACAGGGGAAUAGCCCAGAGAAAUUUGGAUUAAUACCCCAUAGUAUUACAGAUUCGCAUGUUUCUGUGAUUAAAGUUCCAACGGUUGAGGAUGGGCAUGCGUGACAUUAGUUUGUUGGUGAGGUAACGGCUCACCAAGACUACGAUGUCUAGGGGUUCUGAGAGGAUGAUCCCCCACACUGGUACUGAGACACGGACCAGACUCC
This 230-nucleotide ribosomal RNA is filed under the name uncultured bacterium. RNAcentral's name for it is "partial 16S ribosomal RNA". It matches the Rfam family "Bacterial small subunit ribosomal RNA", at positions 109 to 339 of the family's 1533-position model. The record is from RNAcentral.